RNAcentral lists this ribosomal RNA (443 nucleotides) under uncultured bacterium. Its description in RNAcentral is "partial 16S ribosomal RNA". It matches the Rfam family "Bacterial small subunit ribosomal RNA", at positions 338 to 795 of the family's 1533-position model. The record is from RNAcentral.
CCUACGGGUGGCAGCAGUGGGGAAUAUUGGGCAAUGGGCGCAAGCCUGACCCAGCCACGCAGCGUGAAGGAAGAAGGCUUUCGGGUUGUAAACUUCUUUUCUCAGGGACGAAGCAAGUGACGGUACCUGCGGAAUAAGCCACGGCUAACUACGUGCCAGCAGCCGCGGUAAUACGUAGGUGGCAAGCGUUAUCCGGAUUUACUGGGUGUAAAGGGCGUGUAGGCGGGACUGCAAGUCAGAUGUGAAAGCCACGGGCUCAACCUGUGGCCUGCAUUUGACACUGUAGUUCUUGAGUACUGGGGAGGCAGACGGAAUUCCUAGUGUAGCGGUGAAAUGCGUAGAUAUUAGGAGGAACACCAGUGGCGAAGGCGGUCUGCUGGACAGCAACUGACGCUGAGGCGCGAAAGCGUGGGGAGCAAACAGGAUUAGAUACCCCUGUAGUC